UAGGGAAUCUUCGGCAAUGGACGAAAGUCUGACCGAGCAACGCCGCGUGAGUGAAGAAGGUUUUCGGAUCGUAAAACUCUGUUGUUAGAGAAGAACAAGGACGUUAGUAACUGAACGUCCCCUGACGGUAUCUAACCAGAAAGCCACGGCUAACUACGUGCCAGCAGCCGCGGUAAUACGUAGGUGGCAAGCGUUGUCCGGAUUUAUUGGACGUAAAGCGAGCGCAGGCGGUUUCUUAAGUCUGAUGUGAAAGCCCCCGGCUCAACCGGGGAGGGUCAUUGGAAACUGGGAGACUUGAGUGCAGAAGAGGAGAGGGGAAUUCCAUGUGUAGCGGUGAAAUGCGUAGAUAUAUGGAGGAACACCAGUGGCGAAGGCGGCUCUCUGGUCUGUAACUGACGCUGAGGCUCGAAAGCGUGGGGAGCAAACAGG
This 429-nucleotide ribosomal RNA is filed under the name Gemmatimonadota bacterium. RNAcentral's name for it is "Gemmatimonadetes bacterium partial 16S ribosomal RNA". It matches the Rfam family "Bacterial small subunit ribosomal RNA", at positions 355 to 776 of the family's 1533-position model. The record is from RNAcentral. Lineage: Bacteria; Pseudomonadati; Gemmatimonadota.